GACGAACCGUGCGAACGUUGUUCGGAUUCACUGGGCUUAAAGGGCGCGUAGGCGGGCAAGCCAGUCCGGGGUGAAAUCUUUCGGCUCAACCGGAAAAGUGCCUUGGAUACUGCUUGUCUAGAGGGAGGUAGGGGUCGCGGGAACUUCCGGUGGAGCGGUGAAAUGCGUUGAUAUCGGAAGGAACACCAGUGGCGAAGGCGAGUCCCUGGACAACACCUGACACUGAGGCACGAAAGCUGGGGGAGCAAACAGG
Molecule: ribosomal RNA, 253 nt
Filed under: uncultured bacterium
Lineage: Bacteria
Description: partial 16S ribosomal RNA
Rfam family: Bacterial small subunit ribosomal RNA
Source: RNAcentral